GCUGGGCGUGGUGGCGCAUGCCUGUAAUCCCAGCUACUUGGGAGGCUGAGGCAGGAGAAUCGCUUGAACACAGGAGGCUGAGGUUGCAGUGAGCCAAGAUCGUGCCACUGCACUCCAGCUCAAAAAAAAAAAAAAAAAGGAAUAAAUUACAUUACCGUUUAAGCCAACCAAUUCAGCACUUUUUCUGAUAUUUGCACAAGGCAUUCUUUUUUUUUUUUUUUUGAUACAGAACCUCGCUCUGUGGCCCAGGCUGGAGUGCAGUGGUGUGAUCUUGGCUCAGUGCAACCUCUGCCUCCUGGGUUCAAGUGUAUUUUU
Molecule: signal recognition particle RNA, 315 nt
Filed under: Pongo abelii (Sumatran orangutan)
Lineage: Eukaryota; Metazoa; Chordata; Mammalia; Primates; Hominidae
Description: Metazoan signal recognition particle RNA (ENSPPYG00000040439.1)
Rfam family: Metazoan signal recognition particle RNA
About the family: The signal recognition particle (SRP) is a universally conserved ribonucleoprotein. It is involved in the co-translational targeting of proteins to membranes.
Source: RNAcentral